RNAcentral lists this small RNA (37 nucleotides) under Romboutsia ilealis. RNAcentral describes it as "CRISPR spacer". Lineage: Bacteria; Bacillati; Bacillota; Clostridia; Peptostreptococcales; Peptostreptococcaceae. The record is from RNAcentral.
CGUAAAUUAUUCGCUCUAGCAGAUAUUCAUAAGCAAG